UACAGGGGGGGCAAGCGUUGUUCGGAAUUACUGGGCGUAAAGGGCUCGUAGGCGGUCUGUUGCGUCGGGAGUGAAAACUCAGGGCUUAACCCUGAGCCUGCUUCCGAUACGGGCAGACUAGAGGUAUGCAGGGGAGAACGGAAUUCCUGGUGUAGCGGUGAAAUGCGCAGAUAUCAGGAGGAACACCGGUGGCGAAGGCGGUUCUCUGGGCAGUACCUGACGCUGAGGAGCGAAAGUGUGGGGAGCGAACAGG
RNAcentral lists this ribosomal RNA (253 nucleotides) under uncultured bacterium. RNAcentral's name for it is "partial 16S ribosomal RNA". It matches the Rfam family "Bacterial small subunit ribosomal RNA", at positions 524 to 776 of the family's 1533-position model. The record is from RNAcentral.